Molecule: unclassified non-coding RNA, 781 nt
Filed under: Hevea brasiliensis (rubber tree)
Lineage: Eukaryota; Viridiplantae; Streptophyta; Magnoliopsida; Malpighiales; Euphorbiaceae
Source: RNAcentral
GGGAACCAAAGGUUUGUAAAAUAUUUGUGUCUUGUUUUAUUCUUGAUUUUCUAGAAUUAUUUCUUUUUGUGGCUAGUGUCAUUUAAAAUUUGCUAUAUUUUAUCUUCUAUGUUUAGAGUCAAGAGGUGUUUGUUUUAUUUUUGAUGUCUAGAAGUUCAAUGAAUGUUGUAAAAUUGGUUUUGAUGAUAUCUUGAACUCCUCAUACGAUGAUCAUAAUUUUGGUAUUCCUGUUUACGUGGCCCUUUGGUGCAUUGAACAAAUUGAUAUCUUUGCUACUUUUUUUACAGGCUAUAGAAAAUGGUUGAUGCAUCAGUUCAUUGUGCAUAUGGGAUAUUAAAGGAUCUUACAAACCAUCCAUUUUAGUGAUUGCCUGUCAUGUGAUCAUACCUUGCAUAAGCUUCUUGAAAUCAUGCUGUCAGAUUUUGGUAUUGAAGGUGUACUAUUCACUUAGUCAUUACAGUUACCAUACGAAAAGUUGGACGUGAAUUCUGAUAUGGGCUGGCUUACUUAUUUUGAAGUUUAAUAUGCUUCAGAUUUCGUCCAAGAGUUUUAUGUGGCCAAAACUAAUCUGAUGCAGUUUAGGCACAAGCAUUACCAUUAAAGUGUUUUUUCCCUCGUGUGUUUGUAAUUUGGUAUAUAUUCCUUCACUAACUGUAAGAAAUAUGUUGGAAUGCACUUCCAACUGCUGUUCUUUGUGCUAGUUAACUAUGAUUAAGGUAUAAAAUCUAAUUGAACAUGUGCAAAAGUUUUCCGGGAUGGAAUAGUAACAACUAUUUUGCAU